UAGCCACGGUAAUACCCGCUCCCCGAGUGGUGGAGACUUUUACUGGGCCUAAAGCGCCCGUAGCCGGCCCUGUGUGUCCCUCGUUAAAUCCGCAGGCCCAACCUGCGGGCUGCGGGGGGGUACUACAGGGCUUUGGGGGUGGGGAGAGGCGCUCGGUAUUCCCGGGGUAGGGGGUAAAAAUCCUCUGAUCCCCGGGAGGACCACCAGUGGCGAAGGC
Molecule: ribosomal RNA, 217 nt
Filed under: uncultured archaeon
Lineage: Archaea
Description: partial 16S ribosomal RNA
Rfam family: Archaeal small subunit ribosomal RNA
Source: RNAcentral